GUAUCAAGCGCUGCAGCGAGCGUACGCUCUGCUGACGGAGACCAGCGGAGGAAACUACGACGCUGAGAAGGAAAUCAAGACCAGAGAGCAGCUGCUGAGUGAAAUCAGUCGAUAUCAGUCCAGAGUCGCUGAUCUGGAGUCAGCACUGAAACAACAAGGACUGGAUGUCCAGUGGGUGGAGGAGAAGCAGGCGUUGUAUCAGAGGAAUCAACAGCUGGUGGAGAA
This is a non-coding RNA of Plectropomus leopardus (leopard coralgrouper), 225 nucleotides long. Lineage: Eukaryota; Metazoa; Chordata; Actinopteri; Perciformes; Serranidae. The record is from RefSeq and is a predicted model, not a curated record.